GCAGAUAGCCGUCCUAUCGCGCCGUGCAAUACCGGUGAGGAAAGUCCGGGCAGCGCAGGGCACCAUACUUCCUAACCGGAAGAUGUCCGCGAGGGCAUAGCAGUGCAACAGAAAAUAACCGCCAUGCCUCUGGCAUGGUAAGGGUGAAAAGGUGAGGUAAGAGCUCACCGGGUUCCAUAGCAAUAUGGAAUGCCGUGCACCUUAUGGGCUGCAAGACCAUGUAUACUCCGAUUUCUCACGAAACAGGGCUGCCCGUCCUGUUCCCGCUUGCCGGGUGUCGGAGGGGGUAGGUCGCUUGAGGUUGUGGGUGACUACAAUCCCAGAUAAAUGAUAGGAGCGUUUUUAACGCACAGAACCCGGCUUACAGGUUAUCUGCUUGC
Molecule: RNase P RNA, 380 nt
Filed under: Bacteroidales bacterium
Lineage: Bacteria; Pseudomonadati; Bacteroidota; Bacteroidia; Bacteroidales
Description: RNase P RNA component class A
Rfam family: Bacterial RNase P class A
About the family: Ribonuclease P (RNase P) is a ubiquitous endoribonuclease, found in archaea, bacteria and eukarya as well as chloroplasts and mitochondria.
Source: RNAcentral